RNAcentral lists this ribosomal RNA (285 nucleotides) under uncultured bacterium. RNAcentral describes it as "partial 16S ribosomal RNA". It matches the Rfam family "Bacterial small subunit ribosomal RNA", at positions 30 to 314 of the family's 1533-position model. The record is from RNAcentral.
AUUGAACGCUGGCGGCGUGCUUAACACAUGCAAGUCGAUCGGUAACAGGUGUAGCAAUUACAUGCUGACGAGAGGCGGACGGGUGAGUAAUGCUUGGGAAUCUGCCUAUUAGUGGGGGACAACCCGGGGAACUCGGGCUAAUACCGCAUACGCUCUACGGAGGAAAGCCCGGGGACCGCAAGGCCUGGCGCUAAUAGAUGAGCCCAAGUCGGAUUAGCUAGUUGGUAGGAACGGCCUACCAAGGCGACAAUCCGUAGCUGGUCUGAGAGGACGACCAGCCACACC